AUGAUAUCAGUAAUUUUGUGAUAGAUCACCCAUUUCUAAUGAGCAACCAAGCUCAGAAACACUAUGAUCAACUCCCGUUAUGACAAAAUAUUGUUGCAAUGAAUAGAAAAUACAUAAAAAAUUGAACAUCAUAAAAAGCUCACCACCUCGAAACACCGCUCUUAAUGAGUGGCGAUCUCGGUUCAUUUGAUUUUCGAGGUUAUUUUUUUAUUUUUUUUUUAUUUUUUUUUCUUAUACAAUUGUUCGCCUUAAUUUUUUAUCGCUUACCGCAGUAUAUAACUGGGCUGCAUCAAGUAUUCAGUUACAGUUGUGUCGUAGCUCUAAAACUCUUUACAUCUUUUAAAAAACCAACAAAUCCCAAAAUAUCAUCAUGAACUUCCAAGCAAUCCUCGCUCUUUUCUUCGCCCUCAUCGCCGUCGCUUUCGCCGCCCCGCAAUACGGCCACGAAUCGUCCGGAUACAAAUCCUCCGGACACGGCUACGAGAGCAAGUCCUACGAACCCGCUACCUCCUACCAGAACGUCAACCUCUACCCCCAACACGGCCAUGGCUACGAACAUAAGGAAUCCAGCCACAAGUACUGAAGACUGCCGCCCUCUGCCGAACCCACCUCACUCAAUUCAUCGCGAUUAAUUUAUUUCACCCCUCAUCCGAAACGCAAUCAUCUUUAAUUUCCUAUCGUCAUAGUGAACCAAAAUAAAAUUUAAUAUAAAAAAGAUAAUAUCAAUAAAAACUGCAAAAUUCAAGACUAUUAUUGGACUUUGAUUAUUUCACCCAUUCUACAGAUCUUCCUAACAUACGCUCUCUAAUACAGAGUCAGAAUGAAGAACGUCACUAAUACCCAGUGGCGUGGCGUGAAUAAUCGAUUACCGAUAUCUCGCCAUUUGAAGCUAUGGUAAAGAAUCGAUUACUAAGGUGUCCGCUGCGAACACCCUGAUAAUCGAUAUUUUUUCAUAGGUUUAAAUGGCACAACAAUCGAUAUAUCGCAAUUCACGCCACGCCACUGCUAAUACCGAUAGAUAAUGCGCUAGAAAACUUCAUUGCCUCAUAUUGAAGUGCUUGAUGAUUUGAAUUGAAGUUAUUCUUUUAACUUUCUUCCUGAGAUGCCAAAUUGGAUGAAAAUAGACUUGAAAAAGAAACUUAACCCGGUCUUGUGACGUUAUAGAGUGGAAUUUCCUGUUGAGACUCAUGCAUUUUAGGAGAUUAGAUUAUGCUGUUGCACAUCCACAAAUAAUUGUUGAACUUAAAAUCAGAGGGUACUCAUAAUAUUAAUUCAUCCAAUAGUUUUCCCAUAUUUAAUUUUCAAAAACAAUUUUCAGACUCUUACAAAACAUUUAUUAGAGAGCAUUAUAAUAUACGUAUGAGA
RNAcentral lists this long non-coding RNA (1365 nucleotides) under Bemisia tabaci. Its description in RNAcentral is "lncRNA ENSASIAIIG002441". Lineage: Eukaryota; Metazoa; Arthropoda; Insecta; Hemiptera; Aleyrodidae. The record is from RNAcentral.